Molecule: ribosomal RNA, 2924 nt
Filed under: Staphylococcus capitis
Lineage: Bacteria; Bacillati; Bacillota; Bacilli; Caryophanales; Staphylococcaceae
Description: 23S ribosomal RNA
Rfam family: Bacterial large subunit ribosomal RNA
Source: RNAcentral
AGAUUAAGUUAUUAAGGGCGCACGGUGGAUGCCUUGGCACUAGAAGCCGAAGAAGGACGUUACUAACGACGAUAUGCUUUGGGUAGCUGUAAGUAAGCGUUGAUCCAGAGAUUUCCGAAUGGGGGAACCCAACAUGAGUUAUGUCAUGUUAUCGACAUGUGAAUUCAUAGCAUGUCAGAAGGCAGACCCGGAGAACUGAAACAUCUUAGUACCCGGAGGAAGAGAAAGAAAAAUCGAUUCCCUGAGUAGCGGCGAGCGAAACGGGAAGAGCCCAAACCAACAAGCUUGCUUGUUGGGGUUGUAGGACACUCUAUACGGAGUUACAAAAGAACAUGUUAGACGAAUCAUCUGGAAAGAUGAAUCAAAGAAGGUAAUAAUCCUGUAGUCGAAAACAUAUUCUCUCUUGAGUGGAUCCUGAGUACGACGGAGCACGUGAAAUUCCGUCGGAAUCUAGGAGGACCAUCUCCUAAGGCUAAAUACUCUCUAGUGACCGAUAGUGAACCAGUACCGUGAGGGAAAGGUGAAAAGUACCCCGGAAGGGGAGUGAAAGAGAACUUGAAACCGUGUGCUUACAAGUAGUCAGAGCCCGUUUAUGGGUGAUGGCGUGCCUUUUGUAGAAUGAACCGGCGAGUUACGAUCUGAUGCAAGGUUAAGCAGUGAAUGUGGAGCCGUAGCGAAAGCGAGUCUGAAUAGGGCGUUGAGUAUUUGGUCGUAGACCCGAAACCAGGUGAUCUACCCUUGGUCAGGUUGAAGUUCAGGUAACACUGAAUGGAGGACCGAACCGACUUACGUUGAAAAGUGAGCGGAUGAACUGAGGGUAGCGGAGAAAUUCCAAUCGAACUUGGAGAUAGCUGGUUCUCUCCGAAAUAGCUUUAGGGCUAGCCUCAAGUGAUGAUUAUUGGAGGUAGAGCACUGUUUGGACGAGGGGCCCCUCUCGGGUUACCGAAUUCAGACAAACUCCGAAUGCCAAUCAAUUUAACUUGGGAGUCAGAACAUGGGUGAUAAGGUCCGUGUUCGAAAGGGAAACAGCCCAGACCACCAGCUAAGGUCCCAAAAUAUAUGUUAAGUGGAAAAGGAUGUGGCGUUGCCCAGACAACUAGGAUGUUGGCUUAGAAGCAGCCAUCAUUUAAAGAGUGCGUAAUAGCUCACUAGUCGAGUGACACUGCGCCGAAAAUGUACCGGGGCUAAACAUAUUACCGAAGCUGUGGAUUGUCCUUCGGACAAUGGUAGGAGAGCGUUCUAAGGGCGUUGAAGCAUGAUCGCAAGGACAUGUGGAGCGCUUAGAAGUGAGAAUGCCGGUGUGAGUAGCGAAAGACGGGUGAGAAUCCCGUCCACCGAUUGACUAAGGUUUCCAGAGGAAGGCUCGUCCGCUCUGGGUUAGUCGGGUCCUAAGCUGAGGCCGACAGGCGUAGGCGAUGGAUAACAGGUUGAUAUUCCUGUACCACCUAGUAUCGUUUUAAUCGAUGGGGGGACGCAGUAGGAUAGGCGAAGCGUGCUGUUGGAGUGCACGUCCAAGCAGUAAGGCUGAGUGUUAGGCAAAUCCGGCACUCGUUAGGCUGAGCUGUGAUGGGGAGAGGAAAUUGUUUCCUCGAGUCGUUGAUUUCACACUGCCGAGAAAAGCCUCUAGAUAGAUAACAGGUGCCCGUACCGCAAACCGACACAGGUAGUCAAGAUGAGAAUUCUAAGGUGAGCGAGCGAACUCUCGUUAAGGAACUCGGCAAAAUGACCCCGUAACUUCGGGAGAAGGGGUGCUCUUUAGGGUUCACGCCCAGAAGAGCCGCAGUGAAUAGGCCCAAGCGACUGUUUAUCAAAAACACAGGUCUCUGCUAAACCGUAAGGUGAUGUAUAGGGGCUGACGCCUGCCCGGUGCUGGAAGGUUAAGAGGAGUGGUUAGCUUCUGCGAAGCCACGAAUCGAAGCCCCAGUAAACGGCGGCCGUAACUAUAACGGUCCUAAGGUAGCGAAAUUCCUUGUCGGGUAAGUUCCGACCCGCACGAAAGGCGUAACGAUUUGGGCACUGUCUCAACGAGAGACUCGGUGAAAUCAUAGUACCUGUGAAGAUGCAGGUUACCCGCGACAGGACGGAAAGACCCCGUGGAGCUUUACUGUAGCCUGAUAUUGAAAUUCGGCACAGCUUGUACAGGAUAGGUAGGAGCCAUUGAAACGUGAGCGCUAGCUUACGUGGAGGCGUUGGUGGGAUACUACCCUAGCUGUGUUGGCUUUCUAACCCGCACCACUUAUCGUGGUGGGAGACAGUGUCAGGCGGGCAGUUUGACUGGGGCGGUCGCCUCCUAAAAGGUAACGGAGGCGCUCAAAGGUUCCCUCAGAAUGGUUGGAAAUCAUUCACAGAGUGUAAAGGCAUAAGGGAGCUUGACUGCGAGACCUACAAGUCGAGCAGGGUCGAAAGACGGACUUAGUGAUCCGGUGGUUCCGCAUGGAAGGGCCAUCGCUCAACGGAUAAAAGCUACCCCGGGGAUAACAGGCUUAUCUCCCCCAAGAGUUCACAUCGACGGGGAGGUUUGGCACCUCGAUGUCGGCUCAUCGCAUCCUGGGGCUGUAGUCGGUCCCAAGGGUUGGGCUGUUCGCCCAUUAAAGCGGUACGCGAGCUGGGUUCAGAACGUCGUGAGACAGUUCGGUCCCUAUCCGUCGUGGGCGUAGGAAAUUUGAGAGGAGCUGUCCUUAGUACGAGAGGACCGGGAUGGACAUACCUCUGGUGUACCAGUUGUCGUGCCAACGGCAUAGCUGGGUAGCUAUGUAUGGACGGGAUAAGUGCUGAAAGCAUCUAAGCAUGAAGCCCCCCUCAAGAUGAGAUUUCCCAACUUCGGUUAUAAGAUCCCUCGAAGAUGACGAGGUUAAUAGGUUCGAGGUGGAAGCGUGGUGACACGUGGAGCUGACGAAUACUAAUCGAUCGAAGACUUAAUCAAU